RNAcentral lists this ribosomal RNA (446 nucleotides) under uncultured soil bacterium. RNAcentral's name for it is "bacterial SSU rRNA". It matches the Rfam family "Bacterial small subunit ribosomal RNA", at positions 26 to 518 of the family's 1533-position model. The record is from RNAcentral.
AGAACGAACGCUGGCGGCAGGCCUAACACAUGCAAGUCGAGCGCCCAGCAAUGGGAGCGGCGCACGGGUGAGUAACACGUGGGAACGUGCCUAUCGGUUCGGAAUAACUCAGGGAAACUUGAGCUAAUACCGAAUACGCCCCGAGGGGGAAAGAUUUAUCGCCGAUAGAGCGGCCCGCGUCCGAUUAGCUUGUUGGUGAGGUAAAAGCUCACCAAGGCAACGAUCGGUAGCUGGUUUGAGAGAACGAUCAGCCACACUGGGACUGAGACACGGCCCAGACUCCUACGGGAGGCAGCAGUGGGGAAUCUUGGACAAUGGGGGAAACCCUGAUCCAGCCAUGCCGCGUGAGUGAUGAAGGCCCUAGGGCUGUAAAACUCGUUUCGGCGGGACGAUAAGUGACGGUACCCGCAGAAGAAGCUCCGGACUAACUUCGUGCCAGCAGCCGC